Molecule: ribosomal RNA, 443 nt
Filed under: uncultured bacterium
Lineage: Bacteria
Description: partial 16S ribosomal RNA
Rfam family: Bacterial small subunit ribosomal RNA
Source: RNAcentral
CCUACGGGAGGCAGCAGUGGGGAAUAUUGGGCAAUGGGCGCAAGCCUGACCCAGCAACGCCGCGUGAAGGAAGAAGGCUUUCGGGUUGUAAACUUCUUUUCUCAGGGACGAAGCAAGUGACGGUACCUGAGGAAUAAGCCACGGCUAACUACGUGCCAGCAGCCGCGGUAAUACGUAGGUGGCAAGCGUUAUCCGGAUUGACUGGGUGUAAAGGGCGUGUAGGCGGGAAAGCAAGUCAGAUGUGAAAACCAUGGGCUCAACCUGUGGCCUGCAUUUGAAACUGUUUUUCUUGAGUGCUGGAGAGGCAGACGGAAUUCCUAGUGUAGCGGUGAAAUGCGUAGAUAUUAGGAGGAACACCAGGGGCGAAGGCGGUCUGCUGGACAGCAACUGACGCUGAUGCGCGAAAGCGUGGGGAGCAAACAGGAUUAGAUACCCGAGUAGUC